This 455-nucleotide ribosomal RNA is filed under the name Didymium squamulosum. RNAcentral describes it as "SSU rRNA". It matches the Rfam family "Bacterial small subunit ribosomal RNA", at positions 536 to 955 of the family's 1533-position model. The record is from RNAcentral. Lineage: Eukaryota; Evosea; Eumycetozoa; Physariida; Didymiaceae.
UAGUGUUAUUCGUGAUGACUGGGCGUAGGGUACGUAGGCGGAUAGUCAAAAAUAUAGUUAAAGACUGAGGUUGACCCUCUUCAAGCUAUAUUCACUAGCUAUCUUGAGUUUUAAGGGCGAUAGUGAAUCCUUUAAGUAAGGGUUAAAUUGUUGAUAUUAGGAGACGUUCGAAGGCGAAAGCAAUGAUCGACUUAAAUCUGACGCUAGGUACUAAAGCAUGGGUAUGAAAAGGAUUAGAGACCUUGUAGUCCAUGCUGUAAACUAUGAGUGUUCAACGUCCUUUUGUGGUUUAUUAAAAACCGGCCGCAAGGUGUCAGUGAUUUUUUUAAUAGUAGGCAUGAAAGGGGGUUUGAAGCUAACGCGUGAAACACCGCCUGGGGAAUGUGGCCGCAAGGUUAAACUCAAAGGAAUUGACGGAGACUUAUACAAGGGGUGGAGAUGUGGUUUAAUUCGAG